GGAGAGGUGUCCGAGCGGUUUAAGGAGCUAGUCUUGAAAACUAGUGAUACGAAAGUACCCAGAGUUCGAAUCUCUGCCUCUCCGCCA
Molecule: transfer RNA, 87 nt
Filed under: Clostridia bacterium
Lineage: Bacteria; Bacillati; Bacillota; Clostridia
Description: tRNA-Ser
Rfam family: tRNA
About the family: Transfer RNA (tRNA) molecules are approximately 80 nucleotides in length. Their secondary structure includes four short double-helical elements and three loops (D, anti-codon, and T loops).
Source: RNAcentral